RNAcentral lists this long non-coding RNA (322 nucleotides) under Setaria italica (foxtail millet). RNAcentral's name for it is "long non-coding RNA (SITA_LNC005254)". Lineage: Eukaryota; Viridiplantae; Streptophyta; Magnoliopsida; Poales; Poaceae. The record is from RNAcentral.
UCAUCCAGGAGUCCAAUGUAAGGUCACAUCCCUCUUAUACCCUUCCCGAUUCGGUUCCAUUCGAAAUCAGUAGAGGAAAACCUAGCUAAGGUUUGCAGCUAACAAGCCUAUUUGAUUGCUUGCUUUCAUCCCGCUGAUCUCGUUUUUACCGCAUCCAAGAUCGUUUCCCUCGUCAAUGUCAGUCCAGCAAGGACACGGAAGGCCUCUAGAUCUAAUACUACCUCGUCCAGGUUUGCUCUCAACCCCCUAGACCCCUCACAGCUACCUGUAUUGCUUGAUUGUCUGUUGUGGCCCUCAAGAAUUUUGAUGACACUGAACUGAA